ACUUUGCCUGUUACAGUGGAGAUGUCGUGAAUAUGCAGGUGGUGAAAGUGCGGCUGCAGUCCGCCUCCUCAGCGGACCUGGAGGUCAUGAAGGACGCCUUGUUGCAGCAGCUGCGUCAGAGACUGAAGGACCAAGGCGUGAGUGACGACGUGCAGCUCCGAUGGGUGACGCAGCCUGAUGGGAGGGUCUUCCACAAGGAAGGGAAAGAGGAGGAGAAGAACGAGGAGGAGCAGGCGGAGAGCUGCGGCCCCUGAACAUGCUUUUGAUUUUUCACGUAGUGCCGUUUCAUUGGAGAAUAUUAUUCAUGACUUAGCAUGAAAAAGUACAAAAAAGAAAAUCACAAUAAUUGGAAACAUGCUGGCAUUCUUUUACAUGUGAACUGUAUUUUUCACAGAGAUCCAAAGCCAUACGAUAUC
This is a long non-coding RNA of Myripristis murdjan (pinecone soldierfish), 416 nucleotides long. RefSeq lists it as uncharacterized. The transcript has 3 exons. The record is from RefSeq and is a predicted model, not a curated record. NCBI's taxonomy places the organism in Eukaryota, Metazoa, Chordata, Actinopteri, Holocentriformes, Holocentridae.